RNAcentral lists this ribosomal RNA (207 nucleotides) under uncultured bacterium. Its description in RNAcentral is "partial 16S ribosomal RNA". It matches the Rfam family "Bacterial small subunit ribosomal RNA", at positions 568 to 774 of the family's 1533-position model. The record is from RNAcentral.
UGCGCAGGCGGGAAGACAAGUUGGAAGUGAAAUCUAUGGGCUCAACCCAUAAACUGCUUUCAAAACUGUUUUUCUUGAGUAGUGCAGAGGUAGGCGGAAUUCCCGGUGUAGCGGUGGAAUGCGUAGAUAUCGGGAGGAACACCAGUGGCGAAGGCGGCCUACUGGGCACCAACUGACGCUGAGGCUCGAAAGUGUGGGUAGCAAACA